RNAcentral lists this ribosomal RNA (398 nucleotides) under Urodacus yaschenkoi. Its description in RNAcentral is "partial 16S ribosomal RNA". The stretch from base 272 to 398 matches the Rfam family "Bacterial large subunit ribosomal RNA", at positions 2473 to 2600 of the family's 2925-position model. The record is from RNAcentral. Lineage: Eukaryota; Metazoa; Arthropoda; Arachnida; Scorpiones; Urodacidae.
UUAGUCUUUUAAUUUGGGACUGGAAUGAAUGGCUCGACUAAUUAAUUUUGUCUUAUAAUAAUAUUUUGAAUUUUAUCUUUUAAUAAAAAAGUUAAAAUAAAUCUUAAGGACGAGAAGACCCUAUUAAGCUUAACAAAUCUAGUUUUAUUAUCUUAAGUAACCUAAAAUUUGUUUGACUGGGGCAGUAGACAAAAUGAUUUUGUUUUUUUUAUUGUGAAAUAUAAAUCUUGUUAUAUCUAAAAUUUUUAAAAUAAUAAUAAGUUACUAUAGGGAUAACAGCGUAAUUUUUUCUAAGAGUACGUAUUGUCGAAAAAGUUUGCGACCUCGAUGUUGGAUUAAGAUACCUAUUUUAUGCAGUAAUAAAAUAAGGAAGUCUGUUCGACUUUUAAUUUCUUCCA